UGGUCAGGUAAUGGCUGCAAGGUCUCAGACC
RNAcentral lists this non-coding RNA (31 nucleotides) under Mus musculus (house mouse). The record is from RNAcentral. Lineage: Eukaryota; Metazoa; Chordata; Mammalia; Rodentia; Muridae.